UGUAGCAGUACGGCACGCACUAAUAAUACAUACACGCGCUAAAGCGCAAUUCCAGCAUCUAUAGAGGCCUUUCCUGCGGCCAGCUACUACCAACAUGCCACGUGGCAUGCGUGAAGCUGACAGACGUUUGUAGCGGACCUAACAGGCUUGUGACCUUGGGCCCCACCGACAGUAUCCUACUACGGCAGGAGUGGUCGUGGAGAUUCGUCCGGCAGGUAGGCCGAGAUAUGAGCUUCUUCACCCAGGCGGGAUGCUCUGGCCAGACACUUAAGUAUCGCGACUACUUGGUGUUCGGAGGUCAAGACUCUGCUGUCGCCGGUCUAGUUAUACUGUACCUGUUAUGUAUUCUAGUGUCUGCCGCUGGGCUGGACUUCUUCCUGUUGCAGUUGCUAAACCUGCCGUUGGUGCCGUCCUGAAUGAACUGCCACAGCAGUUUUUAACCUUAACACCCCCACCGGCGGCUGCUGCCUACAUGUGCCCUCCACUGGCAUCGUUUUGAUGUUAUGCCUUCCUUGCUGUACUUCACUGGUCGCCACUAUGGCUCUUGUCCAGAGCAUGGACCCUUACACGCCCGGUACCAACCGCACCAUUGCCGCCGUC
Molecule: long non-coding RNA, 600 nt
Filed under: Volvox carteri
Lineage: Eukaryota; Viridiplantae; Chlorophyta; Chlorophyceae; Chlamydomonadales; Volvocaceae
Description: long non-coding RNA (VCAR_LNC003713)
Source: RNAcentral